This 493-nucleotide ribosomal RNA is filed under the name uncultured bacterium. RNAcentral describes it as "bacterial SSU rRNA". It matches the Rfam family "Bacterial small subunit ribosomal RNA", at positions 16 to 507 of the family's 1533-position model. The record is from RNAcentral.
GACCUGGCUCAGGACGAACGCUGGCGGCGCGCCUAACACAUGCAAGUCGAACGGAGAUUACAGGCGGAAGUUUUCGGAUGGAAGCUUGUAAACUUAGUGGCGGACGGGUGAGUAACACGUGAGCAACCUGCCUAUCAGAGGGGGAUAACGAUUGGAAACGAUCGCUAAUACCGCAUGACAUAGCGGAAUCGCAUGGUUCUGCUAUCAAAGAUUUUAUCGCUGAUAGAUGGGCUCGCGUCCGAUUAGAUAGUUGUGGGGUAACGGCCUACCAAGUCGACGAUCGGUAGCCGGACUGAGAGGUCGAAACGGCCACAUUGGGACUGAGACACGGCCCAGACUCCUACGGGAGGCAGCAGUGGGGGAUAUUGCACAAUGGGGGAAACCCUGAUGCAGCGACGCCGCGUGAGGGAAGACGGUCCUCUGGAUUGUAAACCUCUGUCUUCGGGGACGAAACGAGACGGUACCCGAGGAGGAAGCCACGGCUAACUACGUG